Molecule: ribosomal RNA, 247 nt
Filed under: uncultured Staphylococcus sp.
Lineage: Bacteria; Bacillati; Bacillota; Bacilli; Caryophanales; Staphylococcaceae
Description: partial 16S ribosomal RNA
Rfam family: Bacterial small subunit ribosomal RNA
Source: RNAcentral
UACGUAGGUGGCAAGCGUUAUCCGGAAUUAUUGGGCGUAAAGCGCGCGUAGGCGGUUUUUUAAGUCUGAUGUGAAAGCCCACGGCUCAACCGUGGAGGGUCAUUGGAAACUGAAAAACUUGAGUGCAGAAGAGGAAAGUGGAAUUCCAUGUGUAGCGGUGAAAUGCGCAGAGAUAUGGAGGAACUCCAGUGGCGAAGGCGACUUUCUGGUCUGUAACUGACGCUGAUGUGCGAAAGCGUGGGGAUCA